Long non-coding RNA from Ctenopharyngodon idella (grass carp), 919 nucleotides. RefSeq lists it as uncharacterized. The record is from RefSeq and is a predicted model, not a curated record. The transcript has 3 exons. Lineage: Eukaryota; Metazoa; Chordata; Actinopteri; Cypriniformes; Xenocyprididae.
GCCAUUUCACUUGGAUAUAUGUCACAAUAGGGAUGUUCACAUGGAUACAUCACAAUAGGGAGGAAAAAGUUGUAAUUUCUGUUUAAUGUCGACUUUAACUUUCAGGCUCCAACUGUGCAGCAUACGCCUGAAAGAGAGAACUGCUGAUCUGCAACACCUCGCUCUGGUGGAUUAAAACUGGGUCUUCUAGCCCGUUUGUAUGAGCCUGCCAAUCAAGCAGAGGAUGGCAGCAAAGCCAUAGAAGAAUCACUUUGGGUUCUUCCAAGAAACUUUAAAAAUGUAUCCUUUUAAGAAGAGAGUAUUUUAUCUGCAGUGGCUGGACGUUCCAUUCUAUGGACAUUGUGUUCACCUCUAAUGACCUCCACACUUUACCUCAGCAUGAAAUCAGAUCAGAACUGACAUGAAUUAGAGUGGAGUGACAGACUAUCAGGCUCUCAGGGCUUCUGAGAAAUAUUUGUUCCCAGUGCAUCUGGACUUUUGUCUAAAAUAAAAUAGGAACUUCUUGUCAACUAAAGUACUAUAUUCGUUGCCUUUGGAAACCAGCUGCUACCAGGUUACUAAAUCCCAAUGGAGUGGCUCCCUGCUGGUCGUCACUGCCGUCACCUUGUGCAGCACCAAUGGUGUGAUGGUCUACAGAUAAUAGCACGAAUGGGAGCUAAUACAUCAUCCCAAGUUUCCACAUGGGAUGAGUAGUGCGUCAUGGUUCUUCUAUAAUCAUAAAUAUGUCACUUGUAUUAGUAUUCCUUGGUCCAAAUCUUUUAAAGGUGCACUCUUCAUGUUUUACACAAAUGAAUAGUGCUGAAAAAUUUAAAAUAUAAAAUAAAUACAAAUUAAAAUAAAUGAUUUAAAAUGUAAUGUCAGAUAAUUACAAUACUACUUGCUUUAUCUCAUUAAUCCCCAUAUUGCACAGUUUUGCUUG